This 2859-nucleotide ribosomal RNA is filed under the name Moraxella catarrhalis. RNAcentral describes it as "bacterial LSU rRNA". It matches the Rfam family "Bacterial large subunit ribosomal RNA". The record is from RNAcentral. Lineage: Bacteria; Pseudomonadati; Pseudomonadota; Gammaproteobacteria; Moraxellales; Moraxellaceae.
GGUCAAGUAAUGAAGUGCACAUGGUGGAUGCCUUGGCAGUCAGAGGCGAAGAAAGACGUGAUAGCCUGCGAUAAGCGUCGGUGAGGUGGCAAUAUCCUGUGACCCGGCGAUUUCUGAAUGGGGAAACCCAACCAACACAAGUUGGUUAUUACACAGUUUACUGUGUAAGGCAAACCGGGAGAAGUGAAACAUCUCAGUACCCCGAGGAAAAGACAUCAAAUGAGAUUCCGUAAGUAGCGGCGAGCGAACACGGAGGAGCCGAUCAAUUUUACAGUAGCAAAAUGGCGUGGGAAAGCCAACCAUAGUAGGUGAUAGUCCUGUAUGCGAAACUGUUUAAGCGACAUAUUAAGUAGGGCGGAACACGAGAAAUUCUGUCUGAAGAUGGGGGGACCAUCCUCCAAGGCUAAAUACUCCUGACUGACCGAUAGUGAACCAGUACCGUGAGGGAAAGGCGAAAAGAACCCCUGUUAGGGGAGUGAAAUAGAACCUGAAACCGUGUGCAUACAAGCAGUCGGAGCGGACUUGUUCCGUGACGGCGUACCUUUUGUAUAAUGGGUCAGCGACUUAUAUUCUGUAGCAAGGUUAACCGAAUAGGGGAGCCGUAGGGAAACCGAGUCUUAAUAGGGCGAAUGAGUUGCAGGGUAUAGACCCGAAACCGAGUGAUCUAUCCAUGAGCAGGUUGAAAGUGCCGUAACAGGCACCGGAGGACCGAACCCACUGUCGUUGAAAAGCCAGGGGAUGACUUGUGGAUAGGGGUGAAAGGCUAAUCAAACUCGGUGAUAGCUGGUUCUCCCCGAAAGCUAUUUAGGUAGCGCCUCGGACGAACACCAUUGGGGGUAGAGCACUGUUUCGGCUAGGGGGUCACACCGACUUACCAAACCGAUGCAAACUCCGAAUACCGAUGAGUGAUAUCCGGGAGACAGACGGCGGGUGCUAACGUCCGUCGUCAAGAGGGAAACAACCCAGACCGCCAGCUAAGGCCCCAAAUUCCUAGUUAAGUGGGAAACGAUGUGGGAAGGCACAGACAGCUAGGAGGUUGGCUUAGAAGCAGCCACCCUUUAAAGAAAGCGUAAUAGCUCACUAGUCGAGUCGGCCUGCGCGGAAGAUGUAACGGGGCUCAAACUAGGAGCCGAAGCUGCGGAUUUAAUUGUUUCAAUUAAGUGGUAGGGGAGCGUUGUGUAAGCCUGUGAAGGUGCACUGUAAGGUGUGCUGGAGGUAUCACAAGAGCGAAUGCUGACGUGAGUAACGACAAAACGGGUGAAAAGCCCGUUCGCCGGAAGACCAAGGGUUCCAGUCCAACGUUAAUCGGGGCUGGGUGAGUCGACCCCUAAGGCGAGGCCGAAAGGCGUAGUCGAUGGGAAAUCGGUUAAUAUUCCGAUACUUGUUUAUGAUGCGAUGGAGGGACGGAGAAGGUUAUGCCAGCCUGGCGAUGGUUGUCCAGGUGGAAGGAUGUAGUUAGACUGAGUAGGCAAAUCCGCUCGGUUAUUAAUGAGAUCUGAUAGCAAGCCAGUUUACUGGCGAAGUGGCAAAUACCCUGCUUCCAGGAAAAGCUUCUAAGCGAUAGUCAUAAACGAAUCGUACCCGAAACCGACACAGGUGGUCAGGUAGAGAAUACCAAGGCGCUUGAGAGAACUCUGCUGAAGGAACUAGGCAAAAUGGUACCGUAACUUCGGGAGAAGGUACGCUGCCGAUGGUGAUGAAACUUGCUUUCUGAGCUGUUGGCAGUCGCAGAUACCAGGCUGCUGCAACUGUUUAUUAAAAACACAGCACUCUGCAAACACGAAAGUGGACGUAUAGGGUGUGAUGCCUGCCCGGUGCUGGAAGGUUAAUUGAUGGGGUUAGCGUAAGCGAAGCUCUUGAUCGAAGCCCCAGUAAACGGCGGCCGUAACUAUAACGGUCCUAAGGUAGCGAAAUUCCUUGUCGGGUAAGUUCCGACCUGCACGAAUGGCAUAAUGAUGGCAGCGCUGUCUCCAGCAGAGACUCAGUGAAAUCGAAAUCGCAGUGAAGAUGCUGUGUACCCGCGGCUAGACGGAAAGACCCCGUGAACCUUUACUACAGCUUUACAUUGAACUUUGACCUAACUUGUGUAGGAUAGGUGGGAGGCUUUGAAGCAGAUACGCCAGUAUUUGUGGAGCCAACCUUGAAAUACCACCCUGGUUAUGUUGGGGUUCUAACUUAGAUAUAACAGUAUCAAGGACAAUGUAUGGUGGGUAGUUUGACUGGGGCGGUCUCCUCCUAAAGAGUAACGGAGGAGUACGAAGGUGCGCUCAGAACGGUCGGAAAUCGUUCAAAGAGUAUAAAGGCAAAAGCGCGCUUAACUGCGAGACCCACAAGUCGAGCAGGUACGAAAGUAGGUCUUAGUGAUCCGGUGGUUCUGUAUGGAAGGGCCAUCGCUCAACGGAUAAAAGGUACUCUGGGGAUAACAGGCUGAUACCGCCCAAGAGUUCAUAUCGACGGCGGUGUUUGGCACCUCGAUGUCGGCUCAUCUCAUCCUGGGGCUGAAGCAGGUCCCAAGGGUAUGGCUGUUCGCCAUUUAAAGAGGUACGCGAGCUGGGUUUAGAACGUCGUGAGACAGUUCGGUCCCUAUCUACCGUGGGCGUUGGAAAUUUGAGAGGAUCUGCUCCUAGUACGAGAGGACCAGAGUGGACGAACCUCUGGUGUUUCGGUUGUCACGCCAGUGGCAUUGCCGAGUAGCUACGUUCGGAUGGGAUAACCGCUGAAAGCAUCUAAGCGGGAAGCCCACCUCAAGAUGAGAUUUCCCUAAAGAGCCGUUGUAGACUACGACGUUGAUAGGUUGGGUGUGGAAGUGUAGUGAUACAUGUAGCUAACCAAUACUAAUUGCUCGUUUGGCUUGACCAU